AAUUAGAUGGCUGAACAUUUAAGCUAUGGCCUCUUAAGCCAUCAUAUAGUAUCUUUACUUCUAAUAA
RNAcentral lists this transfer RNA (67 nucleotides) under Scolopocryptops sp. 1 YG-2013. RNAcentral describes it as "tRNA-Lys". Lineage: Eukaryota; Metazoa; Arthropoda; Chilopoda; Scolopendromorpha; Cryptopidae. The record is from RNAcentral.